This is a long non-coding RNA of Pseudomyrmex gracilis, 499 nucleotides long. RefSeq lists it as uncharacterized. The record is from RefSeq and is a predicted model, not a curated record. Lineage: Eukaryota; Metazoa; Arthropoda; Insecta; Hymenoptera; Formicidae. The transcript has 3 exons.
CCGUUCCUGUUCCCAUUCGCGUCCCAGCGCGACAACAGUCAAGUGACAAGCACUCUCCCGAAUUCUGCUCGGAUACUAAUUGUCGCGCGAACGGAACUGCCCGCAAUCGCUCGUCUUGGCGAAUUUAAGUACAACUUUGCGGAUAAUGAGAGAAAAUAAACUUAAGUGUCAUCGAGCUUCUUCAAGAUUGUCUUGCAAAGAGAAGUUACAUUGAUUUAUUUAAGGAACAGAGAUGAAUUUUCCUUUGCUACAAUAUUCUGGAUAUUAUAACCGUUAACGAGAUCGUCAUGAUUACCACAGCAGAAGUACGAGAGGUUCAAUAUCAAGCUGAUGCUAUAAGCCGGUGCACCGUGAUAUGUGAAAUGGAACUUUCAAACAUUUCCGGUGCUGUCACUUUUCAUUUGCUAAUUAACCGAUGGGUCAUUUAAACACGCGCAUAAACAUAGAAAUUGAUGACAUACGCGGAUAUAAAUUGUCAUUUCAUGAUGGAUUUUCUCAA